UCAGGCCUAACACAUGCAAGUCGAGCGGUAGCGGGAAGAGCUUGCUCUUUGCCGACGAGCGGCGGACGGGUGCGUAACACGUAGGAAUCUGCCUGGUAGUGGGGGAUAGCCCGGAGAAAUCCGGAUUAAUACCGCAUACGCCCUACGGGGGAAAGGAGGGGACUCUUCGGAGCCUUUCGCUAUCAGAUGAGCCUGCGUCGGAUUAGCUUGUUGGUGGGGUAAAGGCCUACCAAGGCGACGAUCCGUAGCUGGUCUGAGAGGAUGAUCAGCCACACUGGGACUGAGACACGGCCCAGACUCCUACGGGAGGCAGCAGUGGGGAAUAUUGCACAAUGGGCGAAAGCCUGAUGCAGCCAUGCCGCGUGUGUGAAGAAGGCCCUAGGGUUGUAAAGCACUUUCAGUGGGGAGGAAAGGUUGAAGGUUAAUACCCUUCAGCUGUGACGUUACCCACAGAAGAAGCACCGGCUAACUCCGUGCCAGCAGCCGCGGUAAUACGGAGGGUGCGAGCGUUAAUCGGAAUUACUGGGCGUAAAGCGUGCGUGGGCGGCCACCUAAGUUGGAUGUGAAAGCCCCGGGCUCAACCUGGGAACUGCAUCCAAAACUGGGUGGCUAGAGUACGGGAGAGGAGUGUGGAAUUUCCUGUGUAGCGGUGAAAUGCGUAGAUAUAGGAAGGAACACCAGUGGCGAAGGCGACACUCUG
This 700-nucleotide ribosomal RNA is filed under the name uncultured bacterium. Its description in RNAcentral is "bacterial SSU rRNA". It matches the Rfam family "Bacterial small subunit ribosomal RNA", at positions 42 to 731 of the family's 1533-position model. The record is from RNAcentral.